Phyllopteryx taeniolatus (common seadragon) is the source of this 854-nucleotide long non-coding RNA. RefSeq lists it as uncharacterized. The record is from RefSeq and is a predicted model, not a curated record. The transcript is spliced from 2 exons. Lineage: Eukaryota; Metazoa; Chordata; Actinopteri; Syngnathiformes; Syngnathidae.
UCUUCAUUAAUCAACGGGCUGACCUUAGGCAACGUAAAAUGCGGCGUAAUCCGAGAUGGUUUCAUUGUUGAUGGGGAUUGUACGAUGGACCUCCAGACAAAGGAUGCAGGAGGAGGGCCCACAUACAAUAUUACUGUAGCCAAAUUUGGCAACGUAUUGAUUUUCGCCAUGGGGAGAGAAGGUGUCCAUGGAGGGAAACUCCACAUGGAAGCACAUAAACUGGCAUCGUACAUGAGGCUUGUAUACCCAAGUGUCCUGUGCCAGCCAGCCAACCCACCUACAGACCCGUCUACCUACCACCCUGUUGCGUUUCACUUCCUGUCCUAGUUGCUAGAUACUUUUCUUCUGCUCCCUAUUCCUCGCCCAAACCAUCUUAAGUUGAUCCAUAGCCAAGAUGAGCUGAUGACUAAGGACGUCACUUGACUAAGACCAGCAAAGUGAAAGCCAAACACUUUUUGUUCCCACUGACACAAGUCCCACAAUAUGUGCUCCCCUGCAGAGUGGCCAAUGCCUUCUUUUGAUUGGGGCGCUUUAGCAGUAGCUCAUCACGUCUUCCUCCUUUCACAACAACUUCUUUGCCUGCUGUUUUACACUCUGCUCUUACAGAAAAAAGCCCUUCCGGUUAAUAAAACAUUGGACACAUUUCCUCACAUCUGUGCACCCACAUCCUUGUCAAGGUGUAGUUUGGGUCAGUUAAUCAUAAUGCGGAGUGUUACUGUGCCUGUACACACUAGAAAUCAAAUGGACAUUCCACGGUUACCUGCUCAGGCACUUAUUACUGUUUUUCUUUUGCCAGCUCCUGUAAUGUAUGAAAGGCUAUCAUUUUGUUGGACAAUAAAUCUCUCUCUUUCUAA